Long non-coding RNA from Wyeomyia smithii (pitcher-plant mosquito), 192 nucleotides. RefSeq lists it as uncharacterized. The transcript has 2 exons. The record is from RefSeq and is a predicted model, not a curated record. Lineage: Eukaryota; Metazoa; Arthropoda; Insecta; Diptera; Culicidae.
GUUUGUUUAUUUUCGUUUAAAUUCGUUCGUUUUUCCGUUUGUGAACGAUAUUGUCGCGUUAGUUAGCUGCUGGUGGAUGCCGCUAUCUCGGGAGCAGCUUGGAAGAAGCACCAGACGUCUCCAUCAGUAGAAUAGGAGAAGCCACUUACGACAGCUGGAGGAAAUAAACCCGAUAAGUUUUUAUUUUAUUUA